GACAACAUCACCUUGAAAACACUGGUUUACAUAUGAUUACCAAAGUUAAGCAAUGUUCAGCCUAGUCAGUACCUAGAUGGGUGUCUGCUCGGGAAUACCAGAUACUGUAAGC
Molecule: non-coding RNA, 112 nt
Organism: Acanthosepion pharaonis
Lineage: Eukaryota; Metazoa; Mollusca; Cephalopoda; Sepiida; Sepiidae
Source: the annotation of a GenBank genome assembly